AGAAUCAACGCUGGCGGCGUGCCUAACACAUGCAAGUCGCACGAGAAAGGGGAGCAAUCCCUGAGUAAAGUGGCGCACGGGUGAGUAACACGUGACUAACCUACCCUUGAGUGGGGGAUAACCUAGAGAAAUCUGGGCUAAUACCGCAUAAUACCUUCGGGUCAAAGGAGCAAUUCGCUUAAGGAGGGGGUCGCGGCCGAUUAGUUAGUUGGCGGGGUAAUGGCCCACCAAGACUGUGAUCGGUAUCCGGCCUGAGAGGGCGCACGGACACACUGGAACUGGAACACGGUCCAGACUCCUACGGGAGGCAGCAGUGGGGAAUUUGCGCAAUGGGGGAAACCCUGACGCAGCAACGCCGCGUGGAGGAUGAAGCCCCUUGGGGCGUAAACUCCUUUCGAUCGGGAAGAUAAUGACGGUACCGAGAGAAGAAGCCCCGGCUAACUUCGUGCCAGCAGCCGC
RNAcentral lists this ribosomal RNA (459 nucleotides) under uncultured bacterium. Its description in RNAcentral is "SSU rRNA". It matches the Rfam family "Bacterial small subunit ribosomal RNA", at positions 26 to 518 of the family's 1533-position model. The record is from RNAcentral.